Molecule: long non-coding RNA, 960 nt
Organism: Papilio xuthus (Asian swallowtail)
Lineage: Eukaryota; Metazoa; Arthropoda; Insecta; Lepidoptera; Papilionidae
Exons: 4
Source: RefSeq, a predicted model, not a curated record
UAUGUUUUGAAAUUUAUUAUUUUACUUUAAAUUAGAAAUUGUCUGGAAAUCUGAAAACAUUUAACUUUAACUCUUUGACCUCUUACAAAAGUGUAUAAAUAGGUCAUUUGAAUUACAAAACACACAUAGGAAACUGAUAACUUAUUAUUUAUUACCAAGCUAAUGACUGGCAAACUUUACAAAAAUGAAUUUGAAAAAAUUUACUACGAUUAAAUUAAAAACAUACAGGAGAAACAUGAAACUUUUAGGCAUCCAUACUAUUUUUAUAAAAUAAUUUUUUUAAGUUUAUAUUGGUCAGUGUAACAUAAGGUGUUGUCUUAAAUUUGCAAGCAAGAACCACUUUAAGGAGCCAAAAAAGCUGACCGACCCACACCGACAAUCUCCUCUACACAAGAGGGUGCAUCAAGUACUUACUAACCACACAAUUGCAGCAACACAGCAGACUUAGGUAGAUUCAAGCUUAUUCAGGAUAUAAUUAUAUUAACUUGAAACAAAUUUUUAACGCUUAUGUUGUAACAUUUUCAAACUCUAGUCAUUCAUAUUGCAACAUGACAUAGAUGCGCCAAACAAUUCAAAUGUAAUGUAUGUGGCCAGAUUUUUGCUACAAGGAAAAGACACCAUGAACUCAAAAGACACAAUCAGCUUCAGCUCAGAUCGGGUGUAAAACCAAUAUAUAUGAGGCAACAGGACACCAAUAACUGAAAUAAUGAACAAACAGUAACUAUAGAACUAACUAGAAGUGAUACAAAUGAAAAUGCGUCUUUACCUAUGAUAUCACGACUUCACCUGCUGCUUAUACCACUGUAUUCUAGCCUUGAACUUGAACCAGGAACAAUGAAGAAAUUGCAUUAUAGAAUUCAUUAAAAAUAUUUUUGUAACCUUAUAAAAGUGGAAUAUUCAAGAUUGUAAUUGAAUAUUUAAUAAAUAAAUAAAGUUUUCAAGCAGUUUUUUUAAACCUGA